AAAAAAAAAAUCACCAAAAUAAUUUACCAACAAUUUUGAAAAUAAUAAUUAAAAAAAUAUACUGACAGUUUUCUUUCAGGAAAGCAUGCGUUUCAGCUGCGGGCUCUGAUUUCCUGAUUUCCUUAGAUUUGAAACAUUUCUGGUUGGAAUCCGUUUGGGUUUUGUGCUGUUUUUCGUUCUCCAAACACUAAAAGAACAAAACUAUUAAAAUGUAUCAUCAUGUUAUUCUCUCACAUUUUCAGCAUCUGUUAAAAUCUGAAAAAUAUCAGAAUGAUCGACACAGUGAACAAUCUGUCUCAGCUGUUCAAGGAUUUUCACAAAGUUUGAAAGCAUGAAACUGAAUACAGUCAAACUGAAACUUUUCGGUCUUGUUCGUGUUCUGGUUUGGGAUUUUCUGUUGAUUUGUCUCUUUCGUUCACAGCUUUGCUGCAGCUGCGUGUCGCUCUCAGACGUCUCCAUGAACUCGCCAUCAGCAGCUCGCAGCACGUCGUUAACGAAACUCCAGCGAAGAAUUUAAAGAGUGAAAACGAUGGAAAUGAAUGACCCCUGACCCCCCAGGAGGCCACGCCCCCCGCUUUGGGAACCGCUGCACUCGAGGUGAAAGAGAUGAUCUUUUUUAAUGUUUGGGGAAACUGACAUGCAGCAUCAAUAAUGUCAUAACUUCCUGAAAAUGUAAUUCCGUCUGAAAAUAUGAUCAAUUUUCCCUUAAAAUGAA
Non-coding RNA from Plectropomus leopardus (leopard coralgrouper), 715 nucleotides. The record is from RefSeq and is a predicted model, not a curated record. Lineage: Eukaryota; Metazoa; Chordata; Actinopteri; Perciformes; Serranidae.